Molecule: long non-coding RNA, 91 nt
Filed under: Neodiprion lecontei (redheaded pine sawfly)
Lineage: Eukaryota; Metazoa; Arthropoda; Insecta; Hymenoptera; Diprionidae
Description: uncharacterized LOC124293550
Source: RNAcentral
CACUCGCAAUCGCAAGAGAGCAAGUGAGUGGAUUAUAUCGUUGGACUACGGAGAUGGUGCUCUUCCUCCUCGAUACAUACGCAGAGAGAGA